This 423-nucleotide ribosomal RNA is filed under the name uncultured bacterium. RNAcentral's name for it is "partial 16S ribosomal RNA". It matches the Rfam family "Bacterial small subunit ribosomal RNA", at positions 359 to 774 of the family's 1533-position model. The record is from RNAcentral.
GAAUCUUCCACAAUGGACGAAAGUCUGAUGGAUAAUUGCCGCGUGAGUGAAGUAGGUUUUCGGAUCGUAACACUCUGUUGUGAGGGAAGAACAAGUAUGAGAGUAACCGCUCGUACCUUGAUGGUCCCUCAUCAGAAAGCAACGGCUACCUACGUGCCAGCCGCCGCGGUAAUACGUAGGUGGCAAGCGUUGUCCGGAAUUAUUGGGGGUAAAGCGCGCGCAGGCGGUCCGUUAAGUCUGAUGUGAAAUCCCGCGGCUCAACCGUGGAAGGUCAUUGGAAACUGGGGGACUUGAGUACAGAAGAGGAAAGCGGAAUUCCAAGGGUAGCGGUGAAAUGCGUAGAGAGUUGGAGGAACACCAGUGGCGAAGGCGGCUUUCUGGUCUGUAACUGACGCUGAGGCGCGAAAGCGUGGGGAGCAAACA